RNAcentral lists this long non-coding RNA (485 nucleotides) under Dasypus novemcinctus (nine-banded armadillo). RNAcentral's name for it is "lncRNA (ENSDNOG00000052339.1)". The record is from RNAcentral. Lineage: Eukaryota; Metazoa; Chordata; Mammalia; Cingulata; Dasypodidae.
AAAGUUUAUACUCAUUGAAACUUAUUAGUGUGUCUAUUUCCUCAUAUGCUUUCCAGCAACGAGUAAUUAUUUUUCUUUCUGAUCUGGUAUUUAGAUAGGAAACACAAGGAUUUAUAAAGAAAUAUAGCUUCGAUUCAGAAAUUGGCAGCAGCUUUGAGUGUGCACAAGCUCCCCUCUAGCUUGGCCCCAAUCAAGAGUGCGGGAGAUGAGGCAAUGAACGGAAGCUGUUUCCCCCAGAUGCUGCACGGAUGAUGUGGGGAGGAGUGUUGGGAAUCCUAGCUGAUGCUAAGUCAUCAGAGAUGGAAUCCAAGGUCAUGCUCCAGCGCCGCUCACAUCUCCUGCUUGCUCCUUAUCUGCGUGUCCAUCUAUCAUUGAAGAAAAUGAAACUGGUCUGCCCAGAUUUGAGCUGCACACACCGUUGGAGUGAGUGCACAUUUAUUGCUUGUUGCACACGAAGGGGACUUGUAUGAGGGCCUGUUCGGGAG